Non-coding RNA from Paramuricea clavata, 306 nucleotides. NCBI's taxonomy places the organism in Eukaryota, Metazoa, Cnidaria, Anthozoa, Malacalcyonacea, Plexauridae. The record is from the annotation of a GenBank genome assembly.
UUUACUUUAAAAUUAUUGAUUCAACACUUAUAAAUGCAUUUAAGUAUGAUACUUUGAAAAUAAGAGUUACAAUUUUAGCCUAAAUAGACGACUGUCAUGUAACUUCGCCUAGUUUUAAUAUCGGUCUUUAUGGCUACCGGGGAUUUGCAAGUUGACUGAGUGGGAAAAACGACCUUCAAUCUUCAUGUUUUAUGUAGUUUUCUGUAGUCACAAAGUCACUUGUGAAAUCUAGCGCAGCUAAGUCACAGCAAAGAGCAUCCGGCCAUAUAAUGCAAAAAACCAACAACCAAGUGCAACACGAGUAUG